CUUCCUGGAAUGCUUCAGAAGGUGGCAAGGACAAUGAGAAGAAACAAGAAGAUGAAGUUAAUCCUGCAUCUGGGACAUUGUGAGUAUCAUCUAGCCUGUCUUCAUUUUCUCCAUAGUGCCUUUCAUUAAAUAUGAAUCCUUCCUAUAUACUGGAAAAUAAUCCAUCUUUCUUGCCUCAUGAGAACCCUAACUGAUACAAACGAAGAAGUUCUCAUCCUGGUCCUCCAGCACAAACACACAGGCUAGAACGGGCAAGGGGAAGGAGUGGCAACCCAAAGAAAGCUGUAGCUGGUGUUCUGGGCUUCAAAAUAAGAAGCAGCCUGAGUCUGCCUGGAGCCUGGCAGAGAGAAAGCUCCUCUGAAUUCCCCACGCCCAGCAGUUGGAAGAUCAGAAAGAUACCAUCUGCUGAUUAAUAAACACUCUUGUAUCUCUUAAUAAGAUGAUUGGAUCAGGGUGUCUCGGUGUCCUUGUUCUGAAUGUUCCUACGUUCCACCCCACACUCGCUGAUUGGAGGCCACACCCAGAGGCUCUGUAGUUGGGAUGAAUCACGUCUGAGCCAACUGUCCUUCCUGGAGUUCAUGGGCUGUGAUGAAUGUGAGUUCAGCCGAACUGGACACCUGCAAUCAACUCCCAAGAGCUCUGACUACUGCCUGUCACAUCGUCACAGCAUCGUCAGUGAGCCCUGACGAACAUGGGUAGAACUUCCAUGGAACACCCUCUGGGUGUUCAGCCCUGGGGUGCAGGGUGGAUAGUGGAGUGAAAAGAAACUAUAUAAGGGGGUCCCAGCUCUUCAGAAGGAAAGAAGAUGAAGAGAAUGAUUGUAACUCUGCCAUUUCAAAACUUGAGCCAUUUCAUUGGCAGAUUUUUAUUUAUCCAGUUCCCAUUUGGGACCUACCAGCCCUUACCUCCCCAAAUGAAUGAAUGUUAUUUUGUAAAGAGCCGAAACCUUAUGAAAUCUUUCCCAGCUCAUGACUCCCAUUCACCCCCUGGCUCACUGUGAGGCAUGUUUGUUCCUCCGGGAAUUGCAGGCUCUCCUGUUUGCAUGGGCUUUGGCUCAACCUCUUCCAAGUGGAGAUGAAGAGCUGAAGACUUUCUGGGCUCCAGAGCCAUAGUUCUUGCAUUCUUUACUUCCAGCUUAGUGUCCCCGAGAUGCUAAUAAACAAAGGGGAGAUUGUUUGCUUUUUCUUUUGAGAGAUAUUAAAGAAACUGAAAGAAGCAACAAAACCAAGAAGAAUCUGCUGCUCACUGCCCAAAACUGCAAGAACAAAAGCUCUGAUGAGGUGGACAUGCACACUGAUGAAACUGCGUAGCACUUCCAUUUUUCAGAAGGUAUUCUAGGCCCCCCAAAUGGAAGGUACUUGUCCAGAUUCAUGUAGGAAAUAAGUAAUAGGAUUGAUCUUAAAACUUAUGCUGGGCUGGGAAGAUAACUCAGCAGUCUAAACGCCUGCCUGGCAAGGUACAGAGUUAG
Octodon degus (degu) is the source of this 1468-nucleotide long non-coding RNA. RefSeq lists it as uncharacterized. NCBI's taxonomy places the organism in Eukaryota, Metazoa, Chordata, Mammalia, Rodentia, Octodontidae. The record is from RefSeq and is a predicted model, not a curated record. The transcript has 4 exons.